GGAAAAGUGGCUCAGUGGUUAGAGUACUUGCCUUGCAUGCAUGAGGUCCUGGGUUUGAUUCCUCAGCACCA
Non-coding RNA from Dipodomys ordii (Ord's kangaroo rat), 71 nucleotides. The record is from Rfam. Lineage: Eukaryota; Metazoa; Chordata; Mammalia; Rodentia; Heteromyidae.